UAUCCUGGCUCAGGAUGAACGCUGGCGGCGUGCCUAAUACAUGCAAGUCGAGCGAAUGGAUUGAGAGCUUGCUCUCAAGAAGUUAGCGGCGGACGGGUGAGUAACACGUGGGUAACCUGCCCAUAAGACUGGGAUAACUCCGGGAAACCGGGGCUAAUACCGGAUAACAUUUUGAACUGCAUGGUUCGAAAUUGAAAGGCGGCUUCGGCUGUCACUUAUGGAUGGACCCGCGUCGCAUUAGCUAGUUGGUGAGGUAACGGCUCACCAAGGCAACGAUGCGUAGCCGACCUGAGAGGGUGAUCGGCCACACUGGGACUGAGACACGGCCCAGACUCCUACGGGAGGCAGCAGUAGGGAAUCUUCCGCAAUGGACGAAAGUCUGACGGAGCAACGCCGCGUGAGUGAUGAAGGCUUUCGGGUCGUAAAACUCUGUUGUUAGGGAAGAACAAGUGCUAGUUGAAUAAGCUGGCACCUUGACGGUACCUAACCAGAAAGCCACGGCUAACUACGUGCCAGCAGCCGCGGUAAUACGUAGGUGGCAAGCGUUAUCCGGAAUUAUUGGGCGUAAAGCGCGCGCAGGUGGUUUCUUAAGUCUGAUGUGAAAGCCCACGGCUCAACCGUGGAGGGUCAUUGGAAACUGGGAGACUUGAGUGCAGAAGAGGAAAGUGGAAUUCCAUGUGUAGCGGUGAAAUGCGUAGAGAUAUGGAGGAACACCAGUGGCGAAGGCGACUUUCUGGUCUGUAACUGA
Molecule: ribosomal RNA, 748 nt
Filed under: Bacillus thuringiensis
Lineage: Bacteria; Bacillati; Bacillota; Bacilli; Caryophanales; Bacillaceae
Description: bacterial SSU rRNA
Rfam family: Bacterial small subunit ribosomal RNA
Source: RNAcentral